GAAAUGCGAUAAGUAGUGUGAAUUGCAGAAUUCAGUGAAUCAUCGAAUCUUUGAACGCACAUUGCGCCCCUUGGUAUUCCAUGGGGCAUGCCUGUUCGAGCGUCAUUUGUACCCUCAAGCUCUGCUUGGUGUUGGGUGUUUGUCCCCGUCUCCGCGCGUGGACUCGCCCCAAAGUGAUUGGCAGCCGGCGUACUGGUCCCGGAGCGCAGCACAUGUCGCGCAAACGAGUGCCUUGGUACGGCGGCGUCCAUAAGCCCCUCUCUCACGCUCUUGACCUCGGAUCAGGUAGGGAUUCCCGCUGAACUGAAGG
This 310-nucleotide unclassified non-coding RNA is filed under the name plant metagenome. RNAcentral's name for it is "partial contains 5.8S ribosomal RNA, internal transcribed spacer 2, and large subunit ribosomal RNA". The stretch from base 1 to 105 matches the Rfam family "5.8S ribosomal RNA", at positions 50 to 154 of the family's 154-position model. The record is from RNAcentral.